RNAcentral lists this ribosomal RNA (527 nucleotides) under Aspergillus tennesseensis. Its description in RNAcentral is "eukaryotic LSU rRNA". The stretch from base 139 to 292 matches the Rfam family "5.8S ribosomal RNA". The record is from RNAcentral. Lineage: Eukaryota; Fungi; Ascomycota; Eurotiomycetes; Eurotiales; Aspergillaceae.
ACGGGCGCCCACCUCCCACCCGUGACUACCUAACACUGUUGCUUCGGCGGGGAGCCCUCUCGGGGGCGAGCCGCCGGGGACUACUGAACUUCAUGCCUGAGAGUGAUGCAGUCUGAGUCUGAAUAUAAAAUCAGUCAAAACUUUCAACAAUGGAUCUCUUGGUUCCGGCAUCGAUGAAGAACGCAGCGAACUGCGAUAAGUAAUGUGAAUUGCAGAAUUCAGUGAAUCAUCGAGUCUUUGAACGCACAUUGCGCCCCCUGGCAUUCCGGGGGGCAUGCCUGUCCGAGCGUCAUUGCUGCCCAUCAAGCCCGGCUUGUGUGUUGGGUCGUCGUCCCCCCCGGGGGACGGGCCCGAAAGGCAGCGGCGGCACCGUGUCCGGUCCUCGAGCGUAUGGGGCUUUGUCACCCGCUCGAUUAGGGCCGGCCGGGCGCCAGCCGACGUCUCCAACCAUUUUCUUCAGGUUGACCUCGGAUCAGGUAGGGAUACCCGCUGAACUUAAGCAUAUCAAUAAGCGGAGGGAAAAGAAA